ACUUACAGCCAUAUCACCCUGUAGCCCAAGACUGGUUGCCCACUGGAGUGAAGCAGGGUUGAGCCUGCUCAGUAACUUGAUGGGAGACUUCCUGGGAAGACUAGGUUGCUGCUGGAA
Ribosomal RNA from Sinocyclocheilus anshuiensis, 117 nucleotides. Lineage: Eukaryota; Metazoa; Chordata; Actinopteri; Cypriniformes; Cyprinidae. The record is from Ensembl.